Molecule: unclassified non-coding RNA, 195 nt
Filed under: Glomus sp.
Lineage: Eukaryota; Fungi; Glomeromycota; Glomeromycetes; Glomerales; Glomeraceae
Description: partial contains 5.8S ribosomal RNA and internal transcribed spacer 2
Rfam family: 5.8S ribosomal RNA (bases 1-71)
Source: RNAcentral
GUGAAUCAUCGAAUUUUUGAACGCAUAUUGCACUCUCUGGUAUUCCGGAGAGUAUGCCUGUUUGAGUGUCAGUUAAAUAUCAAUCGGGGGUUUUGCCACCUUUGGUGUUGACGCUUCGGAAUUUGGUCGUUUUUACCUUUCGGUUAAGUUACUUUUAAUUUUUUAAUGUUAUUUGAACUUUUUUAAUUUUAUUUG